RNAcentral lists this small RNA (74 nucleotides) under Salix viminalis (osier). Lineage: Eukaryota; Viridiplantae; Streptophyta; Magnoliopsida; Malpighiales; Salicaceae. The record is from RNAcentral.
UAAAAUCUGGGAUGAAAUUAUAAAUGUUUCCCGACAAAGAAUGAUUAUUCCUAGGAAAAUCCAUCCCAAUUUUA